UGCAAUGUAGCUCAGUGGAAGAGUGUUUGCCUAGUAUGCUAAAGGCCUUAGGUUCAAUCCCCAGCAUUGCAA
Transfer RNA from Cavia porcellus (domestic guinea pig), 72 nucleotides. It matches the Rfam family "tRNA". Rfam says of the family: Transfer RNA (tRNA) molecules are approximately 80 nucleotides in length. Their secondary structure includes four short double-helical elements and three loops (D, anti-codon, and T loops). Lineage: Eukaryota; Metazoa; Chordata; Mammalia; Rodentia; Caviidae. The record is from Rfam.